UACGGAGGAUGCGAGCGUUAUCCGGAUUUAUUGGGUUUAAAGGGUGCGUAGGCGGGCUGUUAAGUCAGCGGUAAAAGCCCGGGGCUCAACCCCGGCGAGCCGUUGAAACUGGCUGUCUUGAGAUGUCGAGAGGUAUGCGGAAUGCGCAGUGUAGUGGUGAAAUGCGUAGAUAUAUGGAGGAACACCGGUGGCGAAAGCGGCUCUCUGGCCUGUAACUGACACUGAGGCUCGAAAGCGUGGGGAGCAAACAGG
RNAcentral lists this ribosomal RNA (252 nucleotides) under uncultured bacterium. Its description in RNAcentral is "partial 16S ribosomal RNA". It matches the Rfam family "Bacterial small subunit ribosomal RNA", at positions 524 to 776 of the family's 1533-position model. The record is from RNAcentral.